RNAcentral lists this ribosomal RNA (440 nucleotides) under uncultured bacterium. Its description in RNAcentral is "partial 16S ribosomal RNA". It matches the Rfam family "Bacterial small subunit ribosomal RNA", at positions 338 to 795 of the family's 1533-position model. The record is from RNAcentral.
CCUACGGGUGGCUGCAGUGGGGAAUAUUGCACAAUGGGGGAAACCCUGAUGCAGCGACGCCGCGUGAGUGAAGAAGUAACUCGUUAUGUUAAGCUUCAUUAGUAGGGAAGCAAAUGACGGUACGUGUGUCAGAAUCGCCGGCUAAUUACGUGCCAGCAGCCGCGGUAACACGGAGGGGGCAAGCGUUAUCCGGAUUUAAUGGGUGUAAAGGGAGCUUAGUCGGGAAUGCAAGUUUGGCGUGAAAGGCGGGGGCUCAACCCCCGGACUGCUGUGGAAACUGUACGGCUGGAGUGCAGGAGAGGUAAGUGGAAUUCCUAGUGUAGCGGUGAAAUGCGUAGAUAUUAGGAAGAACACCGGUGGCGAAGGCAGCUUACUGGACUGUAACUGACGUUGAGGCUCGAAAGCGUGGGGAGCGAACAGGAUUAGAUACCCGAGUAGUC